GAAUUCGAUUCGGUGUGACAAGGCCCGGGAACGUAUUCACCGCGGCGUGCUGAUCCGCGAUUACUAGCGAUUCCAACUUCAUGAAGGCGAGUUGCAGCCUUCAAUCCGAACUGAGCGCGCGUUUAAGAGAUUGGCUUACUCUCACGAGUUCGCUGCUCGCUGUCGCGCGCAUUGUAGCACGUGUGUAGCCCUGGACGUAAGGGCCAUGCUGACUUGACGUCAUCCCCACCUUCCUCCGGCUUCUCACCGGCGGUCUCGUGUGAGAGAUCUUGUGGACCAACACACGACAAGGGUUGCGCUCGUUGCGGGACUUAACCCAACACCUCACGGCACGAGCUGACGACAGCCAUGCAGCACCUGUGUUGCGGCCGGGUUGCCCCGGAGCCUACUUUCGUAGGAUUUCCGCACAUGUCAAGCCCAGGUAAGGUUCUUCGCGUUAAUCACUA
RNAcentral lists this ribosomal RNA (446 nucleotides) under uncultured soil bacterium. Its description in RNAcentral is "partial 16S ribosomal RNA". The record is from RNAcentral.